RNAcentral lists this ribosomal RNA (511 nucleotides) under Bathynomus kapala. RNAcentral's name for it is "partial large subunit ribosomal RNA". It matches the Rfam family "Archaeal large subunit ribosomal RNA", at positions 1900 to 2679 of the family's 2987-position model. The record is from RNAcentral. Lineage: Eukaryota; Metazoa; Arthropoda; Malacostraca; Isopoda; Cirolanidae.
CAAAAACAUCGUUUACUUAACUAUAGUAGAUAGAAUCUGCCCAUUGUAAAUUUAUAAAAGGCCGCGGUAUCGCUGACCGUGCUAAGGUAGCAUAAUCAUUCGUCUCUUAAUAGAAGACUAGCAUAAAUGAUUUGACGGGAGGUAAACUGUCUCAGUGAUAUAUUAGAAUCUAACAUAAAGGUAAAAAGGCCUUUGGCACCAAGGGGACGAUCAGACCCUAAAAACUUUAUCUAACCUCCUCCUCACUCCUAACUCUUAGAGGAGUUAAAUAGAUUUUGCUGGGGCGGCAUUUUUUAACAUAAAAACAAAUCUACCCAAAACACCGUGUGUGGCUUCUAUAACACAUUCUUAAGACUAAAGACCAGUUACUUUAGGGAUAACAGCGCAAUCCCUUCUAGAGCCCCUAUCGACAAGCAGGAAAGCGACCUCGAUGUUGAAUUGAGAUCUCCAUAUUGAGCAGCCUCAAUAAAGGAUAGGACUGUUCGUCCUAAAACUCUCACGUGAUCUGAUU